RNAcentral lists this ribosomal RNA (384 nucleotides) under uncultured bacterium. Its description in RNAcentral is "bacterial SSU rRNA". It matches the Rfam family "Bacterial small subunit ribosomal RNA", at positions 28 to 414 of the family's 1533-position model. The record is from RNAcentral.
GACGAACGCUGGCGGCGUGCUUAACACAUGCAAGUCGAGCGGUAAGGCCCUUUCGGGGGUACGACGAGCGGCGAACGGGUGAGUAACACGUGGGUGACCUGCCCUCAGCUCUGGGAUAAGCCUGGGAAACCGGGUCUAAUACUGGAUAUGACUCCAUGACGCAUGUUGUGGGGUGGAAAGCCUUGUGCGGCUGAGGAUGGGCCCGCGGCCUAUCAGCUUGUUGGUGGGGUGAGGCCUACCAAGGCGACGACGGGUAGCCGGCCUGAGAGGCGACCGGCCACACUGGGACUGAGACACGGCCCAGACUCCUACGGGAGGCAGCAGUGGGGAAUCUUGCGCAAUGGGCGAAAGCCUGACGCAGCGACGCCGCGUGAGGGAUGACGG